UUCAGCAGUGGAUGUCUAGGCUCGCACAUCGAUGAAGAACGCUGCGAACUGCGAUACGUAAUGCGAAUUGCAGAAUUCAGUGAGUCAUCGAAAUUUUGAACGCAUAUUGCACUCUCGGGUUAUGCCUGGGAGUAUGCCUGUAUCAGUGUCCGUAAAUCA
This 159-nucleotide ribosomal RNA is filed under the name Myzocytiopsis vermicola. Its description in RNAcentral is "5.8S ribosomal RNA". It matches the Rfam family "5.8S ribosomal RNA". Rfam says of the family: 5.8S ribosomal RNA (5.8S rRNA) is a component of the large subunit of the eukaryotic ribosome. It is transcribed by RNA polymerase I as part of the 45S precursor that also contains 18S and 28S rRNA. Functionally, it is thought that 5.8S rRNA may be involved in ribosome translocation. RNAcentral also lists the same sequence under 1 other name. Lineage: Eukaryota; Oomycota; Myzocytiopsidales; Myzocytiopsidaceae. The record is from RNAcentral.